RNAcentral lists this ribosomal RNA (429 nucleotides) under Bacteroidota bacterium. RNAcentral describes it as "Bacteroidetes bacterium partial 16S ribosomal RNA". It matches the Rfam family "Bacterial small subunit ribosomal RNA", at positions 355 to 776 of the family's 1533-position model. The record is from RNAcentral. Lineage: Bacteria; Pseudomonadati; Bacteroidota.
UAGGGAAUCUUCGGCAAUGGGGGGAACCCUGACCGAGCAACGCCGCGUGAGUGAAGAAGGUUUUCGGAUCGUAAAGCUCUGUUGUUAAGGAAGAACGAGUGUGAGAAUGGAAAGUUCAUGCUGUGACGGUACUUAACCAGAAAGGGACGGCUAACUACGUGCCAGCAGCCGCGGUAAUACGUAGGUCCCGAGCGUUGUCCGGAUUUAUUGGGCGUAAAGCGAGCGCAGGCGGUUAGAAAAGUCUGAAGUGAAAGGCAGUGGCUCAACCAUUGUAGGCUUUGGAAACUGUUUAACUUGAGUGCAGAAGGGGAGAGUGGAAUUCCAUGUGUAGCGGUGAAAUGCGUAGAUAUAUGGAGGAACACCAGUUGCGAAGGCGACGCUCUGGUCUGUAACUGACGCUGAGGCUCGAAAGCGUGGGUAGCAAACAGG